GACGAACGCUGGCGGCGUGCUUAACACAUGCAAGUCGAACGGAAAGGCCCUGCUUUUGUGGGGUGCUCGAGUGGCGAACGGGUGAGUAACACGUGAGUAACCUGCCCUUGACUUUGGGAUAACUUCAGGAAACUGGGGCUAAUACCGGAUAGGAGCUCCUGCUGCAUGGUGGGGGUUGGAAAGUUUCGGCGGUUGGGGAUGGACUCGCGGCUUAUCAGCUUGUUGGUGGGGUAGUGGCUUACCAAGGCUUUGACGGGUAGCCGGCCUGAGAGGGUGACCGGCCACAUUGGGACUGAGAUACGGCACAGACUGCUACGGGAGGCAGCAGUGGGGAAUAUUGCACAAUGGGCGGAAGCCUGAUGCAGCGACGCCGCGUGCGGGAUGACGGCCUUCGGGUUGUAAACCGCUUUCGCCUGUGACGAAGCGUGAGUGACGGUAAUGGGUAAAGAAGCACCGGCUAACUACGUG
RNAcentral lists this ribosomal RNA (468 nucleotides) under uncultured bacterium. Its description in RNAcentral is "partial 16S ribosomal RNA". It matches the Rfam family "Bacterial small subunit ribosomal RNA", at positions 28 to 507 of the family's 1533-position model. The record is from RNAcentral.